AGGGAAAGAGCCCAGACUGCCAGCUAAGGUCCCUAAAUGUGUGCUAAGUGGUCAAGGAUGUGGGGAAACAUAGACAACCAGGAGGUUGGCUUAGAAGCAGCCAUCCUUUAAAGAAAGCGUAAUAGCUCACUGGUCAAGUUUUCCUGCGCCGUAAAUAUAACGGGGCUAAGCACACUACCGAAGCUGCGGACUCCAGCAAUGGAGUGGUAGGGGAGCGUUCCAGUUGCGUUGAAGCCAUCUCGCGAGGGUUGGUGAAGCGACUGGAAGUGCGAAUGCUGACAUGAGUAGCGAUAAAACGGGUGAAAAACCCGUUCGCCGGAAGCCCAAGGGUUCCUGUCCAAGGAUCAUCCGGGCAGGGUUAGUCGGUCCCUAAGACGUAGCUGAAAAGCGAAGCCGAUGGGAAACGGUUAAUAUUCCCGUACCACCAGUUAGGAGCAGAGCAGGGACGGAGAAGGGUAGGUCAGCCGGGCGCUGGUUGUCCCGGUGCAAGUCUGUAGGUGGU
This 502-nucleotide ribosomal RNA is filed under the name uncultured bacterium. RNAcentral's name for it is "bacterial LSU rRNA". It matches the Rfam family "Bacterial large subunit ribosomal RNA", at positions 1016 to 1528 of the family's 2925-position model. The record is from RNAcentral.